RNAcentral lists this long non-coding RNA (1502 nucleotides) under Gallus gallus (chicken). Its description in RNAcentral is "lncRNA (ENSGALG00010005072.1)". Lineage: Eukaryota; Metazoa; Chordata; Aves; Galliformes; Phasianidae. The record is from RNAcentral.
CGCGAGGAGGAGGGGGCCGUGUGGAAACGGUGCGGGGCUUUGGGUUGGAUAUUAGGAAGAAGUUUUUCACACAGAGGUGGUGCCACUCUGGAACAGGUUGCCCGAGGAGGCUGUGGAUGCCCCAUCCCUGGAGGCAUUCAAGGCCACGCUGGAUGUGGUUCUGGGCAGCCUGGUCUGGAGGUUGGCAACCCUGCACAUAGCAGGGAGGUUGAAAGUCAAUGAUCAUUGUGGUCCUUUUCAACCAAGCCCAUUCUACGAUUCUAUGCACUAGAUUAGGCUGGCCAUGGUUCCUAUCCAACCUAGCCUCUUUUUAUGCCUUACAACUUAGCCACUUUGUACGUCUCUUUUCAGAAAGAAAACAAAGAUAUACCGAUUCAGACUACUUUAACACUUCCAUGCAAAUGCACUCUUCUAAUAUUUUUUAAAUGGAUCUUUUUGUUUUGUUUUUGCUCUGAGAAUUCUUCCUUCCACUCUAACACAUUGGUAAAAUGAAAGGCUGUCUAGUACUGCAUUAAUGGGUAUCAUUCAUGCCAGUUCACUAGUAUGGAUGGAUACUAUACUCCCUGAAAUGAAUGGUCAUUAGAUAUUUCCUCAGAAAUCUUCAUUUUUUCACAGAGUUAUUCAAGUAAUUUAUUUUUUACCAAGUCAGCAGCUAUAUAUCUGCUGAUGGAAAGAGAAUCCAUGUUCUGGAAAAGAAAACAUGUGUGCAGCGAUUUUUUCAAGAUUUUGGUCACAAGCCCAAGAUCACUCAGCAACAGGUCAAGCUCUCAAAAUAUGGAACACGACACUAUUUGCUGUUCAUGCACUCAGUCUCUGAGCAGCCCAGGGAACAAAUGCUGACUUGCCUGACCUGGAGAGUGAAAAAUGAAGAUGGAUCAAUUAAGAUAGCUAGACAGCUUGUGAUGCUUAUCAAUAAAAUACUGGCAGAUCUCUACUACAUGUAUGGAGAAAGACAUUUCAAAGGUUAAGAACAAAGCCAGUUUGGAUAGAUGCAUAGGCUGGGGAUUGUAAAAAUACAUAGUCAUUUGUUAAGAUUUUUCUUAUUAUGCAGUUGUCUUGUUUUUUUUCCUUGGAAUUCUCUGACAAUUUGUGCACAAUAAAGAAUUCUUUGGUUUGUUAUUCUCAGUGGGUAGAGUCUGAAAUUUGCUCUAUUUUGGAGGACUGAGAUGGCAAGUAAAUGACUGCUAUUAAAACAAAUAUCUGGAGACCAAAAAACAACUUUUUAAUCAUGUUUUUUGAUUCCUCUUGUCUGUUUUUCUAGAUUGUAAAUUAUUUAUUCACAUCCAUUUCUACUAUAUAUAAAUCUGAAUCUUCUCUGCCCUGUGUCUGAACUAUAGAUUUAUCAUAACGUUUAUUUUUGACCCUUAGCACGCUUGUAUACAAAAUUAUGUAGACAUUGCCUGAUUUUGUAUUAUGUAUUAAAACCAGCAAAAUGUGCUAAUUUCUCUAGGAUUAAAAAGAAAAUCAGUGUGCUUCAAUUAAUUAACAGAUUCUUAUUUUAA